GAUGAACGCUGGCGGCGUGCUUAACACAUGCAAGUCGAACGAAGCACCUUGAUUUGAUUCUUCGGAUGAAGAUCUUGGUGACUGAGUGGCGGACGGGUGAGUAACGCGUGGGUAACCUGCCUCAUACAGGGGGAUAACAGUUAGAAAUGACUGCUAAUACCGCAUAAGACCACAGCACCGCAUGGUGCAGGGGUAAAAACUCCGGUGGUAUGAGAUGGACCCGCGUCUGAUUAGGUAGUUGGUGGGGUAACGGCCUACCAAGCCGACGAUCAGUAGCCGACCUGAGAGGGUGACCGGCCACAUUGGGACUGAGACACGGCCCAAACUCCUACGGGAGGCAGCAGUGGGGAAUAUUGCACAAUGGGGGAAACCCUGAUGCAGCGACGCCGCGUGAGCGAUGAAGUAUUUCGGUAUGUAAAGCUCUAUCAGCAGGGAAGAAAAUGAUGGUACCUGACUAAGAAGCACCGGCUAAAUACGUG
Molecule: ribosomal RNA, 479 nt
Filed under: uncultured bacterium
Lineage: Bacteria
Description: partial 16S ribosomal RNA
Rfam family: Bacterial small subunit ribosomal RNA
Source: RNAcentral